This 913-nucleotide long non-coding RNA is filed under the name Monodelphis domestica (gray short-tailed opossum). Its description in RNAcentral is "lncRNA (ENSMODG00000032763.2)". The record is from RNAcentral. Lineage: Eukaryota; Metazoa; Chordata; Mammalia; Didelphimorphia; Didelphidae.
CCAACUUAGCCUCAUUUUUCUUCUCCUCAGUUUUUGUUGGCUCUGACUUCAGGUGUGAUAGGUCAGUAUUUCUGCAUCCCUGAACAGAUGGUCUACAGCUGUUGAUGGUAGAGCAAUUUAUGGUAUGCAAGUCCUCAAUCAGGAGCUCUACAUGCUUCAACAACCUCUGAGGGACUGACUACCUCCUCAAUGUAUUUGCCAAAAUGCUGACUCAGUCUUGGAGUCAAUGGUCUUGACCCUCAGUAUCAUCUGGAAUGCUCAGGAUUUUUUCUACAGGAGAGCCGGUGGAACUUCUAGAAUUUCUGUCCUGGGAUAAUGUUCAUUGAUCUCCAAUCUCUCUUCUAAGGUAUCUACUGGGUAUUGAUGAUUCUCAUAGCAUGGACUGUUGAUAAUGACUUUUAAAAAGUCUUGUUCACAGCCCUUUGUCGGUGACCACAAACUAAAACUCCACCUUUAGCUGAGGAUUGAUGGGAGCAGAAUGGACCAAGAAUGUCACUUAGGAGUGGUAACUGAAAUACAGAGAGCAAAGAAAUCCCAGAGCAAGCAAGAAAGAAAAAUAGAGAGGAGAGGCAGAGAAAGAGAGAAGGAGGAAAGAAGAAAGGAAAGAAAAAAGAAAGACAUCUGUCCAUUAUGACAAGGUUUGACUAUUUGCGCCAUAUAUUACUGUUCCUUAGAGGCUUUGAGACACAAGUGUAAGGCAUGUGACAAAAUAACUACUAAAUAACUAAAAUACAAAAUACAAAAUAACUAGCACAAAAUAACUACUCAUGUAAGAGGGAACAGAACUUUCUGCCACUGAUCAUACAUGCAAAAAAGGGAUCUGAGAUCUCCUGGAGCUGGCUGUUCUCUCUACUGAUGCAGAUCACCGCUCGUCUAUGGCCAUCCAUCCUGCAUGAUGUUUUUCAUAACAUAG